CCUCAGAGGGCAGCCCUGGCUUUCCCGAAGGAGUGACAGUAAGCCUUGGUAAUUCUACAAGAGCAUGUAACAUCUUAGGGCUAGAUGCCAGCCAUCUUAAGGUGUCCCUUCAUCCUCUCCAGGGACAGAGGGCCAGGAGGAAAGCUGCUAGCGUCCAGCAGGUGGCAGCAGUUCCCAGAGGGACUGCUCUUCCAGGAACACCCUGGAUGGGGUUGCCCUCCGAGAGCCCAGCACGGCAUUCACACUCCCAGCCAGGCAGGAAGCAUAGGCUGGGCUACCAGACUGGGAAUGCUGGGAAGAGGAACACAGAAAGGGAGCUGCCUAGGAGAUGCCAUGUAGCCUCUGCAGGAGUAACAUGCUGGAGCAUGAUGGGUCCUUCUUGUUCCCGACUGCCAUUCUGGAGGGAUGGAAGACACGAGUUAAUACAGUUACCUUGUUAAACAAUAAAUGACUCUUGGCUUUGCAUCGAACAGGUCUCUUGGUGAUUUGGGGGUUCUGAAUUUGGGCACAACAAUUUUCACUAAUAUUUGCAUGUCCAGAUUCCUCCAUUCAUUGUGUUUACCAAACUCUGUGCUUCAUAAAGACACAGAAAGCAAGUGUUCAGUACAGACAAGUAGAGGAAACACAGUACAUAAGCAAGGCCCAGCCUGGGGAC
RNAcentral lists this long non-coding RNA (655 nucleotides) under Cricetulus griseus (Chinese hamster). RNAcentral describes it as "lncRNA (ENSCGRG00015041258.1)". The record is from RNAcentral. Lineage: Eukaryota; Metazoa; Chordata; Mammalia; Rodentia; Cricetidae.